This 38838-nucleotide long non-coding RNA is filed under the name Coffea arabica (coffee). Its description in RNAcentral is "long non-coding RNA (CARA_LNC007546)". The record is from RNAcentral. Lineage: Eukaryota; Viridiplantae; Streptophyta; Magnoliopsida; Gentianales; Rubiaceae.
CUGCCACCGCCUGAACCAAUUGCUCAGGAGGGAUCCGGGAAAGCCCUGCGCCUUCGUCUCCCGAAGUCGGACCCCGCGUGGGGUUUUGAGGACUGCUUCCCCCGUUCCCCUUAGAUCCAUCAACGUUUCUUUGAGACCUAGUCCUUGGCAUGAUUCGCAAAGAAGAAAUACGUGUUCCCACAGACGGCGCCAAUUGAUGCGACUGUCAAAAAUCUGGUCCGAGCAGAGCUGAUCGGGGAUAGUUGGGAACGAUGUCUGAUGAAUGAGCUAUGAACCCUGCGAAGGAAGUGGAACAGCGGGACUAAAGUCCCCGGGAUAACUCCGAUGAUUAAAUUAGUAAAGUUUUCUGAGCAGAGUAAUGAGCACGAGUGCUGUUUUUCACGUACCUUGUGUAGUCCUUUAGUGCUAUAUUUAUAGGCUUGACCGGGUAGUAGUUUCCUUAUUGGAGUCAAAGUCCCUUAGGGUUCGAAGUCUUAUUAGGGUUUGGCAUGACGGCCCCUAAUAGUUCAGAGGCGGCGGCCCACGAGACCUACUAUAGGGAGAGGCGGCUGUUACGGCCGAGCUGGCCCGCUUAUGCCGAUCUGCAGCGAGCAACACACAAGGCCUAUAUUGCUGACCUGAAGCGUGCGGCCUGCCGAGCUGACACGUGUCAUGCGUGUAUUUGCCCCACUACAGUUUAAUAAUAUUUUUUAAAAAAAAUAGGAUUUUCGUCUUGUAAGAUAGACCUUACCCAUCUCUCCUGUUGUUUCUAACAAAUACAUGCGCCCCAUUAUUUCGUUAAGUUGAUGGAUUGUAAAAACUAGGGGAAAGUAAUGGCGGCUGUUUGGAGUAGUGAAUCAGGGAAAGGUGGCGGGGACUGGGGAUUCCAAUGACUAAAAUAGUGCGGAAAAUAUCAUUGAAGCAGUCUUUCCAUAUACCGGUGGGAAUUUUGUCCCAUUCGAGCUGAAUGUAUUAACUGCAUUUCCCUGCUUCACUAAAAUGUUAGAACAAAAUUAUCAUCAUAUCGACACAUAGAUAAAACCAAGUUAUGCAUGGUAAGGGGCUAAUUCCUUCGAUUAUUGCUCAAAAAAUAAAAAAUGGGACACUUGUGGUUCUGACAGGAGUCCGGUAUAAAUAUAUACACAGCCCGGCACCUGACACCAAAAAUUUUUUUUUUUUAUAAAAAACACAUGCAGCCCGGCACCUGACAAAGUCUGAAAAGUUGGCUGCCGGGCACUCUCUGCCCGGUAGCCAGUCAAAUUGUAAAAAAAAAAAUUCGAAGGGCUUCAAUGCAAUUCAGACAAAGUAGCUCACCUGACAAAGACUGCAAAAGCUGUGCCCGACAGCCAGUCAAAUUGUUAAAAAAAAAAAAAAUUCGGCCACAUACUGUUUAUAAGAUGAAUGCCGAGUAGAUGAGCCAUAUUAUUGGUUCCUACACGAUAAACAAUGUCGAGUAUGCUGUCAAAGCUGUUGGAGCUUUAAUUAUACCACCAUUAUUGGAGCUUGUUAGAGGAAAGAUGACCCAGGUUAGAGCAAAGGGUAGCUGUUAGAGUACUAGGACAUUUGGCAAGCUAUGAAACGACCUUCAAAGCUAUAGCGCUUUAUGAAGAAGAAGUGGUUAGAUUAGCCAUGCGUUUGGCUUCUACCUGUGUGAAAAGCUGGCUGCCGGCUUGUUUUAAAAAAAAAUGCGGCAGAAGAAUGCAUUUCUGACAAUAUUCUUCAAUCCACGGAAUUAAAGUGGAGGUAAAAAUUAAACAUUGGAUACAUUUUUAUGGUGGAAAGUUCACUUUCCUGCGCACAAUAAGCAGAAGUAAAACAGAUGUGGAGAUGCAUAAAGAAGUAUAUUGGACACUCAAAAAAUCAAAUUAUGCAUGGAUGAAAAAUAUUAUGUAUAUUAAAAUUAUAAUAAAAGGAUGUUUAAAAAUUUAUUCAUUAUUUAAUGUUCAACACUUAUAUUUGGUAAAUUAAAAUAAUUAAUUAAAUAUUCUAUUAUAUUAUAAGUAACUAUAUAUCGUUAAGUCGAUUGAAUAAUAUGUAAGCAGUUAUUUUUUUUGGCAUUUGAAGUAGUUGUCUAUUAAGUUUUAAUUGAAAUAAAGAUUUUAUAAUUAUUUCAAAUUAUGCAAUAAAAAAAUCACUGUAAGAUAAAGAUAAAUGUGAGAUGAAAAAAUAAAUGUAAGAUGAACAAAUUGUAUGAUUCAAAUAUUUGAUUUAAUAUGCAAGAAAGACAAGAAGAAAUGGCAAGAAGUUUUUUAAAAAUUAAUGUGAGUUCUUUAUAUUGGUAAUCACCUUUAUUUGUUAUUUUAAUCAUAAUACCUGAUUAUAACCGAUUAUAAUACCUAAUACUAUUUACAACUAAAGUUACUAUAUACGUAAACUAAAAUUUUCUAUUUCACUAAAUUUUCUUUUAUAUAUGAUGCACGUUUCAUCAUUUGUUAAAACAAAUUAAAUGAUAAAACAAAUGACAAACAAAUGAUAAAUUUUAACAAAUAAAUAUUUUUUGAAACCUAAACCCCAAACCCCAAACCCUAAAGAAGAAUGCAUUUCUGAAACCUAAACCCUAAAACCCUAAACCCUAAACCCUAAACCCUAAAAGCCUAAACCCUAAACCGUAAACUCUAAACCCUGAACCCUAAACCCUAAACCUGAACCCUAAACCCUAGACUAUACACAGCGUAGAAGUACAAAAUAAUGUAACCUUAAAGAAGGAACCCUAAACCCUAAACCCUAAAGAAGAAUGCAUUUCUAAAACCUAAACCCAAAAACCCUAAAAACAUCCACGGAAUUAAAGCGGAGAGAAGAAUUAAACAUAGGUUACAUUUGUAUGGUGGAAAGUUCACUUUUCUGCGCACAAUAAGCAGGAGCAAUGCAAAUGUGGAGACGCACAGAGAAGUAUAUUGGGCAAUGGAAAAAAGCUGAUUAUGUAUAUAUGAAAAAUAGUAUAUAUUUGAAAAUUACAAUAAAAGUCCUCUUAAAAAUUUAUUCAUUAUCUAAUGUUCAAUACUUAUAUUUGGUAAAUUUAAAUAGUUAAUUAAAUAUUCUAUUAUAAUAUAAGUAACUAUAUAGCGUUAAGUCGAUUGAAUAAUAUGUAAGCAGUUAUUUUUUUGGGCAUUUCAAGUAGUUGUCUAUUAAGUUUCACUUGAAAUAAAGAUUUUAUAAUUAUUUGAGAUUAUGCAAUAAAAAAUCAACAUAAGAAGAAAAAAUGCAUAACAUGACAUUGUACAAUCGUGAAUUUAAAAAUAGCGAUAAGCAUUAUAAUAAUAAAAGAUUAAAUUAACGCUAAAUCCUCAUAUUCAAAUAUUUGAAAUUGUAAAACAUGCAAUUGAAAUGAUCAUAUCAACGGUUGGUACGCCUUUUGCCCUUGCCUUUAUCACCUGGUGUUGUAGACGGACAACAAAAUCUUUUAGGCUUUCGUCUGCAACGAUCACGAUGAGCAUAGGGUCCUACGUCAUCCUCCUCAUCCGACUCAACUGUCGUACUGCUAUCACCAUCGUGUUGAGAACGAUACGUGACAAAAUCCCCCGUCUGACCGUAUGUAGUAGUAGAUAUCGGCUGGAUCGACGCAGGUACGGUCAUAGUCUGUCCAAUACUGUAAUAAUCGGGAAGGUCUGAAAUGGAAGGGACACCACCCGUUUCGUUCAGAAAAUUGAAUAUUGGAUGUAGCUUAGCAGUAAAAGAUGAGGCCGCUGCAGUGGCAACGUAUCCAAAUGGAGGCUCGUUUGACGAGGAUGGAAAAUGUCCCCCAAAUACAGACAAAUAUGGAGAGGGCCUGGAAUAUACACCAAAAGGUGGAAACUGUGGCAAAGGCGUGGCCUCUAGAGCAAUAUGCUGUGAGUGCGGGAACGAUGUCACCUGAGGGGUAAAGGCCGAUAUAUUCUGUCCAGGUGACACAUCGUGGAUGUCUGGCAUCGGCAAAGGCACAGAUGUGGUGAAUUGAUUACUAGUCGGGUUGUAAUGCGAUUGAGUGCCCCCCUCGGUCAUUUGAAUGCCCGUCUCCUCAAUGACUUCGUCCUGCAAUCCAUGCCUAUGGCGUCGACUUCUACUAGAUGAUGGUCCACCUUGUGUAGGGACACGUCGCACGCGAGGUUGGAUAGGAAUACAUCAAAAGUUUAUGCAUUUAAUACUAUCAAAUAUCAAAUACCAGUUACUUAUUAGUGUAACCCUCUACCGGAACUGAGACAGCUCAAGUUAUUUAUGAAAAUAACCAGUAUAUGGACAAUUAGGGGCAGUGUGACCCGACUGUAAGCAGUUACUGCAUCGACGUGGUGCAUCAGGACAUCUUCUAUCCAUUUGAUUUCUGAUCCUAGCAGUUCUCAAUGGUCCGGGCAUCUUUUGUUUCAACCGAUCUCCAUUGACAUUCAGCUUUAAUUCCGCCAAGGUCCAAUAUUUUGGAUCCCAUAGCGGCUGAAAAGAACCACUGAAUGUAGCCUGAUAAGCGGGAAACGUAUGUUCAUGAGCGACAAACGUCAUUGGACUAAUACCACACCUAUAACACGCUGCCAUAGCAUGUGAAUAUGGGAAGCAUAGUUCUCUCCAUUUUCCACAUGUACAUGUGUGACUUCCAAUGUCGACAGUCUGGGCAUUACCUCCUUGUCGGCUUUGUCGAUAAGCAGUUGUGAUACAGUAAAUGCCUCUCUAGUGAUCGAACACUUGAACUGCAUGUGCCCUCCCUUUUUUUUCAUUUUUUACAUAUUGCUUCCAACAUUUUUUUGGGAGCGCGUAUACUAGAUUCCAUGCCACCUUGUGAUUUUUGACAAACAGGUCAACUGUUUGGUUGAAUGUGAACCGUAUACAUGCAGUAAUUGGAAGCAACCGAGCGUCUCUCAAUAAAUUAUUGAAACAUUCAACCAUAUUUGUGGAUAUGUGCCCCCAACGAUAUCCCCCAUCUUUGCACAGAGCCCAUUGCUCGGGUCGAACUAAUCCACCCGUUAGUCAUGUGUACGCCUCCGUAUUCAAGGAGUAAAUCAAAUUCAUGAUGUCCUCAUACUUGCGCGGCUGAUUUGCCACACCAGCAGCGUAUAUCAGGCUUUUAAGUCUACCAGACAGCAUAAAAUAUCGUCAGAAUAAGUUUAAUAUAUGUUUAAUAUGUUAGGGUGCGGUGAAAAAACAUUUAAGGGUUCGGAGACAAUUUACCCCUCAUUCUUGAAUUUUUGUGUGAAAUUGCUCCGAAUAUGAAUCAAACAGAAUCGGUGCACCCCUAAUGGCUCCUGCCACUCUUCAAGUGUACGCAUUGCGUUUAUAAUGCCGUGGUGACGAUCAGAAAUAAUGCAUAUAUUUUGCACAUCACCACACACGUGAAUGCGUAACAGUCUCAUGAACCAAGACCAACUCCGAUUAUUCUCCUCAUCAACUAGGGCAUAUGCCAAGGGAAACAUUGAAUUUUCAGCAUCAAACCCUAUGGCGACAAGAAGUUUUCCCCGAUAAGGCCCUUUUAAAAAGGUACCAUCCACGCAUAUCACCGGUUUUAGAUAGCGGAAAGCUUGGAUGGCUGGAGCAAAUGCCCAAAAUAUAUAAUCAAAAAUUAUUGCAGAGGGGGUACUUAAUGGAUGAUGAUCCCACACAACUACCGUCCCUGGAUUCGACCGUUGUAACUCCUCAAUAUAUGUCGGCAGUUGUGAUAUGGAUGUCGGCCAGUUCCCAUAUAAUAUAUCAAUGGCACGGCGUCUAGCGUACCAAGCCUUCUUAUAUGACACAUCACAAUGAAACUCUUGUUUCACCGAUACCUGAAUUUCCUUGAUUUUGUACACCGAACUAUUCAUAAUAUGGGGGAUAAUGUGCUCGGCAAUUAUGUCACUACUCAAUCCACGGUGAUCGUUACUAUAGCAAACACGGACGCAAGUAUGUGCGUCAGCAAGUGUGACAAUCAUCCACAUGUUGUGCGAGCUCCGUAAGAUUGCACGAAACUGCCAAUUACAAGGGGGGACGGAGUUACGAGCCCGACAACGAACAUACCAAGUCGUUGGCGUGCUCUCACGAACUCUGAACUCCCUGUUCUCCUUGAUGGACCACAACUUCACAGCUCGUUGGACAUGCUCCUUUGAUUAAAAAAGAUGGCUCAAUUCUAAAUCUCUGGUGUGUUUGUUCCACAUUCUUAGCUUCUCCACUCGCCCAGCAUCAAGGGGGUCAAAAUUCAAUGCAGCGUCAACACCAGCUUCAUAACGCAGUUGUGGACCAUCACUAUUUAUCCAGGGGGCACCAUGAUCCAUGUCAUCAUGGGCCAUAGAUGCGCCCUCUAGAUGCCCUGCUUGCCUGUCAGUACCAUGUUCGUGGUUCUCAUCAUCGGAACCACUAAGAUUGGGCUCCGGUUCGGAGUCCAUGUCAACAUCUACAAACUGAUCGUCAGUAGAUGGCUGUACAUCAAACAUUGGUGCCGAUUCAAUAUCCGCACCUCGAGAAUGAAUGGUUGAGGUGUGAAUUAUCGGUCGAGCACCUGUACAUGGAGGAUCAUUAUUUGUCUGCCGACCAGUACCCCUUCUUCGCCCUCUAUGCCUUUGUUCGACAUCUGUUCCAGCUAGUUGGGUCAUUUGACUCUCAAAAUGGCCGACUGGCUGGAAUAAAGAUAUAUGUUCGGAACUGCUACCGCCUCGCUCAAGAUUACCACUUAUAAUUUGUAAACCAUCGGCACCAUGUUUUUCUAAACCCAAUAGCUUCUCGACUUCCACAUAUAUUUCGGUUGCAAGUCUACUACCAGAUUGUAAGUAGUACAGACCAGCAACUCCAUUGUCAUUUACCAAAGGCAUUGCACCAAACUUGCUAUUUUGGAGACAACUCCGAUAUAUCAAACUAAUCUUAUAGCUGUUCCGAUCUAAACCCAUACUAGUGUAUAUUCUGUCUACCAAUUCAUCAUAACCCACCACUUCUGUCAAGAACAACGCAUUUUUCGGUAUAGGAGGAUCAUAUGAAAUUGACCCAUUUUUUUAUAUAAUUUUUCCUCCCCAAUAUAAUUGUAUCACCAGGCAAUUAUCACUUGACAUGUUAUACCUAUUACGGACGAGUGUUGAUAACAUUGUAAAAUCGCAUUGAUAAGCUUAUUUGAAUAAUCAAUUAAUUGAUCGAAUCAAAUAUGUAUAAUUUAUAACAAAUAAAUAAAUAAUUAUGAGUCCAUAAUUGUAACAAAUAAUAACCAAAAAUAUAACAAAUAACAACAAAAAAUGCAUUCUAAUUAAAUAAUUCAACCAUUUAUAACAAAUAAAACUAUCAUUUAAUAAAUAACAAAGUAAACCUAAUUAACCACCUUAAUUACUACAUUUAGUUAUAAAAAUUUUACCUUAUGCUAAGUCUAUCAUGCACCUACAUUUCAUAUUGGGUCAAUUAAAUAUGAAAUUCUAAUCAAAUAUCUUACUAAUAUUAAAAACCCUAUUUUAAAAUGAUUUUAUGCUAAUUACAUUAUGUUUAUGCAUUUAAUGUAUUAAAUGUAGCAGUUUUUCCAAAUACUUGAAUUAUCCCCACUAAAUAGCUAUCAUAAUCAAAACUCAAUACAUGCCUCGACAAAUAAAUCUAAGUUCAUUUAAUCGACCUCUUAAAAUUAAUUAAUUACAAAAGAGUGAGAGGUCCUAAUUUAACUAAUUAAACCACAAAACUACUUAAUCUAAUCAGAUACUAAAUAACACAAGCUAAUUAUCAACUAACUUGCACAACAAAGUGAAUUGCAUUAAACUAAUACCCCUAAUUUUGAAAUAAAGCUAACCUAAUUACAUUAUGUUUAUGCAUUUAAUGUAUUAAAUGUAGCAAUUAUUUCAAAUACUUAAAUUAUCCCCACUAAAUAGCUAUCAUAAUCAAAACUCAAUACAUGACUCGACAAAUACAUCUAAAUUCAUCUAAUCGAACCUAUUAAAUUUAAUUCAUUCAACUAAUUAAAAAGCAACUAAUUAAUCUAAUUAAAUCACAAAACUAAUUAAACUAAUCAUAUACUAAAUACCGUGGACUAAUUAUCAACUAACUUGCAUAAUAAAGUGAAUUGCAUUGAACCAAUAAUACUAAUUUCGAUAUUAAGCUAUGCUAAUGACAUCAAUUUUAUGUACUGCAUUUAUUAUAGAUUUACAUUCAUGUAAUCAAUCACUUUAAAUACAUUUAUUAAACAAAUUUAAACAACUAAUUAAUCUACUUAAACUAAUUCAAUCACUAAACUAAUUCAACUAAGCGUGUACCGUGCUUCACUAACUAAUAUUAACAAACAUACGUAAACUACAUUAGCUGUUUACAAUUGCUUCAACAAUAAAUUAAAUAUUUAAUUAAUAACAAAUUAUAACAAUAACAUAAAAUAUUUAUCAACAAUUCACUAACAUAAAAUGACAAAUUAUAGCAACUUUUAUAUAAUACAAAUCACUAACCUCUUUUGAAUCAAAAAAAUCGAUUGCCUCGGGAGCACCGUGAGUAAUGAGCCCGGCGACCUUAACAGAAGUACCGCAAUUAAUCAGCACGGCGAUUAACAAAAACACGGCACCAAGCGUCUGAUGCCAAUUCUGCAUAAGAAUAAGGUAAUUAUUAGAAACACCAACAGGACCACAAGCCAAUUCUACUGCCAAACAAAGUAAUAAUCAUUUGAUAAAUAAGGAGGACUAAGCCAACAAACACUCACGAUUUGGACCACAGGACAGUUCUUUGCCCAACUCUUCGAAAUAUCGAUUAGGGCCACAAGAUAGUAAUACGCCCAACUCUGCAAAAUGUAAAGUGAGGUGCUCGUGUGAAAGUGUGAGACACUGAGAAAUGUAAACUCCGACUGAGGGCUGAGAGAAAAGUGAGAAAUGUAAAUUCCGUAUGGGAGAAAGUGAGAGGUGCGGACGAUGAGGAAGUUCCUCGGUGCUUAUAUAGAGCAUAAGGUAAAAUCUAGCCGUCCGUUUGGACGGCUAGAUUACAAAGUUUCUUUAAAAAAAAAAAAAAUUUAUACUACCGGUAGCACACAAUUAUUGUUUCACGACCUGCUAAAGUCUAAUGGAGCAUAGUUCUUUUGUCCAAUCGUACGUAAAUUUUUCUUUUGGUUCAGCUUUUUUGAUUCACGGGAGCUGCCAGACAAUUUUUGUUUUGUCCACAAGCCUGCCAAAAGGGGCAAAUCUGAAGCAAAAAAGUGUAAAAAAUUCACGGGAGCUACUUUGUCUGAAUUGCAUUUAACCGAUGCCGAAAUUUUUUUUUAACAAUUUGACUGGCUGCCGGGUAGAGAGUGCCCGGCAGCCAGUUUUUGCAAUCUUUGUCAGGUGAGCUACUUUGUCUGAAUUGCAUUGAAGCCCUUCGAAUUUUUUUUUUUACAAUUUGACUGGCUACCGAGCAGAGAGUGCCCAGCAGCCAGCUUUUGCAGACUUUGUCAGGUGUCGGGCUGUGUGUCUUUCAUAAAAAAAAAAAUUUUUUUUGGUGUCAGGUGCUGGGCUGACACAGCCCGGCACCCAUAGAUAUAUACAGAACCCCUGUCAGAACCGCAAGUGUCCGAUUUUUUAUUUUUUUGAGCAAUAAUCGAAGGAAUUAGCCAUGGUAAGGGAAGAAGUUCAAUACAUACUGCUAAUUUUACUCCAUUACCGAGGACAACUUCACUGAUGAUCUUGCGAUUUGUAGUAGUUGCUGCGAUGGUGAACGGACCAGCAACCGUUCCUGAAGGUUAUGUGUGCAUUUUGCACAAGAUGGCGUAAUUUUGUUUGCACAUGAUGUAACUUACUUUCAACAACGUGUAAUUCUAGAAUAAAAUUUUGUGAAUUCUACACAUAUUGUUAAAAACGAGGUAUAAAAUAAGAUUUGAACUGUACAAUUUUUUGUGACCAAAUCUUGGCCGUGAACUGUCAGGAAUAGUUGCUGCCCCUCUUUCGAUGGUAAACAACCAUGGUGCUGUGUACUCGUAAUCUGUCCUGGUACAAGGCCAUUAUUUCCUGCCGAAUUUACAGUAAGUAUUCCCUUCUGUGCUACAUGGAAAGGUCCAACUGCUAUAGAAUCAUCUAUCAAGUCAACUGGAUAAUUGAAACCAAUUGAAAUUGUAAUAAUGUCAACUCCAUCAGCUAUAGCAUCGUCGAAUCCAGCCAAUAUAUCAGCAUCAUCUCAAUAUGUAAAAACAUAAGCUUUGUAUACAGCAGUCCUUGCUGCAGGCGCCUCUCCUCGUACAGUACCUUCUACAAUUCCACAGUAACUCACAUCCAUGACAUUGUUUCCUGCAGCUGUUGAGGAAAUAUGCGUUCCGUGACCUUCUGACCUUCUAAAUCUCUUGGCGAAUCUGAUACAUAGUAACGAGCUCCAAUGAUUUUGCUAUAGACAUGUAUACGUUGCAAUGACUGCCAGUCGUAAACAUGGUUCAAAAGAGCGGUCACAAUUGCGGUCACGGCUCGGACUAUUCCACAUCGGUCUUAGCAUAUCGGUCGCAGUUUCGGUAAGACGAGAAUUUUUGAACUAUUUAAUAUUCUAAAAAUUAUAAAAAAAAAUAUGAUAAACAAAAAUAAUUAAAAAAUUAGUAAAAAUAAUAAAAAUUCGAAUUGAUUCAGGAUGAUUCGGAGUAAUUCAGUGUGAUUCGGCCGUUUCAACUUUUCAUGGUAAUAUCUCGACGAGUCAAAUAUCUCAAAAUCGUAUUGUUCCGAUAUCGUAUCGAGAGGGUCCGAGACGGUGAUGGCUCCGACUCGGCCGAAUCUUUGUACCAUAGUCGUAAAUGUCCUCUUUCAAUACGUCCAAACUCAAACGUAGUAAAUUAACUAACAAAAAGAAGAAAACUUACUUGUUACACAUGAAAUCAUCUCCGCCGUUACAUGCUCUUUUCCAUUUGUUUGGAAUAGGACCAAAACCAUGAUCGUCAAAACUCUCUUAUUCUGGCCAAAUUCCAGAAUCAAGAACUCCUAUAAUUAUAUCACUCUCAACUGCAAGAUUUCGAGGGGCACUUUUGAAGAAAACCAAUAAAGUCCCACGAUGAUGUUGUAUGAAGUUGAAGCCUUUUGCAUGGAAAUAUAGAAACCACAUCAUCACGGGCUGCAUAUUUCGUUAGAACUUCAUAAAUUACUAAAAAGUAAAUAGAAAUAUAACAGCAGCAGGAGAGAAUGGACAAUCACACCAGAAAUGGGAACCACCUAAGGAAGGCGUGAUAAGGAUAAACACAGAUGUGGCUCUCUCAGCUAAGAUGGUAAGGACAGGGUUGGGGAUAAUUGCGCGGAAUUGGCGUGAAGAGAUAGUGAAAGCCAAAGGCAUCAUGGCGAGGAUGAGAGGAGAACCAACAAUAGAGGAAGCAUUGGCAAUAAGGAGUGCGUUGGAAAUGGCCACAACUGCAGGGUGGACUACAAUAAAGGUCCAAUCUGAUUGCAAAUUUGUGGUGAGCCUAAUCAACUCAAGCAAUGUGCAGGAUUGUAAGGUACAAACGAUCUUGGAAGACAUUGAAGACUUGAAGAAGAAUUUUGAAAGAUGUUUGUUUUUGUUUGUUCCCAGAACUGCUAAUAGUUGUAGCCAUGCUAUGGCUUAAUUUGCAGUUAAGUCAGUUAGGAUGAUUGAAUGGGAGGGAGCAUUCCUAUUUUGGUUAUCAGAACUAGCUAGAAAGGAUAUGGGGGUAGUUACCCCUUUUUGUAAUUAACUCUUGUAAUAUCAAGUGUUAAUAUUUAUAAAAUUGUAUCAUUUGACUGAAAAAAAUAGAAAUAUAACAGUUAAUGAAAUUUGAAUCUAUUCAGGUAGAAUUAUCAAAAAUGGUUAAUAGAGAGUAUGGCAAACUAGCCAAAUUGAACUCACCAGCUAGCUUUCGCUGCUCUUGCUUUGUAAGGUUGGCUGCAAAUCCAUUGAAACUCCUAGUAUAACUUCUUACCUAGGUUUUCCCUUGGUACCUUCCAUGACAUGGGGGGGGGGGAAGGAAAAAUCAUCAUUAAGUUUUUUUAAUGGAUCAAUUGGUACAUAUAAAUUAGAAGGCACUGAAUCUGUACACAUUACAUGCUAUUUACAACAACGGUGAAUAUUCUCCUUCAGGAAGCGAUCCCAUGUAUACAAUGUAAACCUUUCAUCAAGUAAAAGAAAGGCACCAUCAUUCCUUGCCUUGCUGUACCUUAUUGAAUUUGAAAGCUUCAGUUCCAAUUUUCUUGCUAUUAAAUUGCAUUUGUUAAUCAAGCAUGUAAAAUGUAAUUGUGACUUUAUGAGUAAAAUGAAGUACUUGGCUGCCAUAUAUAUAUAUAUAUAUAACCCUGGAAACUUAAUACUUUUAUAGACAUGAAAACAGAGGGGAUCAGCAGCUACCAUUGCCAAUUAACGACAGGGAUUAUAUCCAAAUAUAGACAAUUUUAACCAUUGUUUAUUAUAAUUCCUUUUCUUUCUUUUUUUUUAAGCAUAAACUUUUGCCCCUUAUGCUCCUCUUAGAGAGCCAAGAUCCUAGCAUCAAGGGGGGCCAAUCUCAGAUAGCACAUGAAAUGUAGUAAUAGAAUAGUUAAGUGCAACAAUGCCUAUAUUAAAUAUACCUUUUUUUCUUUCUGAAUUAAUUAUACUUUCAAAGUGAAGUUGUGCAUAAAUUCAAAAGUGAAAACCAUUCUAUCUAUUUGAGUUUAGAAACGUCGAAAGAAUUUUUAUGAAGGGUAAUAUUCAUUUUUAGCUUUAAAUAGGUCUAACGUUCUUGGGAAGGGUAAUAAUUAUGAAUAUUUAAUUAUUUAGGGCAGGCAAUAUAGAUGGAAAAUUGAAUUUUAUAAAUUCUAAAUGGGAAAAUAAGAGCAACUUUAAAAAUUUUUAGACUUUCUAAACUUAAAAACUAAUUUCCUUAAAAAUGUGAAAUGAAGGGGGAAAAUGGUGGGGGGAGGGGGGGGGGAAUGCAAGCUACAUGUGGUUCCACCACUGUUUCUUCACCUUUAUUUAAUCCACCCAAAUAUCUUUUUCCUAACAUCAAAGAAUUUAAGGAUCAUACAGUAUCAAAUGAAAACUUCAUGGGUACAAAAUGGUUCUUAGUAGGGUAAGCCUCUCUCUCUUUGGACAUAGUAAAAAGAUCAAAGAUGCAUGCCCAUUCUUGUGCAUAAUUAGUAUCAAAAAACUACCUCAUUUGUUUGGACAGCUUUAGAAGGAGAAGGGAUAAUGGGCCAAUGAGAACUUUGGGGGGAAGGGGGGUGGAAAAAAAACCCUUUACCACAACAAUGCCAUUAACUUAUUGAUAGAAGGAUCACAUCAUGAAAUAAAAAAAAUAAUAAAUUAAACUAUACAUAUAUAAUCAUGUAUAAUUUCUUGAUUAUAUAUAUAUAUAUAAAUAAAUUAGAAAUAAAAAGCUGUAAAACCAAAAAGAGUAGAAUAGCCAUUGUUGCCUUCUCAAUAGAAGCAUAGCGAUUAUUGAGGCUGGAAAAACUAACAACCAAAACCAUGUUUUAACUUUUCCUUGAGGUUGUGAUAUAUAUAUAUAUAUAUAUAUAUAUAUAUAUAUAUAUAUAUUCCCCACCACAACAAAGUUUUCAUUUAAAUUAUCUUUGAAUGCAAAAAUGAGCUGUACUUUUAUGAACUUGUCUGCUUAAAUUACAUUAGAUUUUGUUAACGUUGUAAAGGAAACACGUUCCUCUAACAAUUGUGAUGGUAAUAUUUUUGAAAUCUAAAUUUAAUGUGCAACGCCUCCUCGCCUAUUUCAGAUGGCAUGACUUAUCCGUUAUGCUUGUUUGUGGAGGCGUAAAUUGACCAAACUACCUUCCAUUUUUUCCCUUCCUACAGGACAAAGAAAAUAUAUAACAUUUCUUAGUUCAAAAUAAUACUGGAAAAAAUAAGAAUCAGCAAAAUAUUUACAUUUCAUGUCAAAGAAAGAGAUGCAUCAAAACAAAAAUCACGGCCUUUCGAAGCUUAUUGUGACUUGCAGAGAAGCUUAAUCCUUGAUACAAAAUAUGCAUUUUCAUAGUUAUUAUGUGCCUUAUUUUCCAAACACUAUUGUGGUUAAUUACCAUUUUUGUUUUAGAAAUUAGUCGUCCAAUUGUCAUUAAGAAUGGGUUUUUUUUUUUAAUCAUAGGCUACUAUUUUAAUUAAGAACAAUUUUCUCAUGUUAUUUCUUUGGAAUUUUGUUGAUUAUGAUAAAUGGAAUCCUAAUGACAGUUGUUUGUGAUGUGUUUUUCAAAUUCAUUCUUUUGGAUUCAGUUGGUACUAGCUUAAUUAUCUUUAUUAACUCUACUGAAAUGGAUUGAGCUAACAAAUUUGGGGGUUUCUGAUUGGGCUCCUAGUGCUUUUGAGUGUAGAGCGGUGUCUAUUAGCGAAUUUCCAUUAUCAAUUUUGGGUCGUACUCCCAACAGCCCAAAGAAUUUAAUUUACAAAAAUGAAAAUCCGUUUGAGUUUUAAUACUACACAUAUACGCCCCAAGAUUCAAUUUGGUUGGCAAGAACAUUACUCAUGUGAUUGUAAGCUAUAUGAGUCGACUCUCAAUCGCUUCUCUUUUAUUCCUUUUUAAGGUUUGAAGUCUCUCCUUGAAAAAAAAAGAAAAAAAAAAAAGAGAAAACCCCACAUAUACUAUUGAAGUUGCAAAUUUUGUUAAUAAAACCAAAAACAAAUAUAGAAAAUUAUUAUAAACUAUUUAUUGCAAGUUUUGUCAAUCAUACACCAAUUAUGACUAACUUAAGAAAUAAUAGUUUCUUUUCCUUUUAAAUAGUAAAUAAGUUGAAUAUCCAAAAAAAAGAUAAAUAGAAAUCUUAGUUUGUUUUGAAACAUUAUAUAAACAUGCAUCAACACAAUGCAAAUCAUAAAUGGUAGGAAAAUAUUGCUGUAUGCUAUGCACGACACUAUACGACAGAAAUAAAGCAAAAGAUACAUAGUCCAUUUCUUUUAGUUUUUAGCUAUUUACACGUCUGUGUAUAUUGGUAUAACCAUGUCGUGUUUUCUUAGUACUUUUUGCACACUAAAUGCGGAAACAAAACCAAUCAACUAUAAUUGUCUCUAAUUAAAAAAAAUUUUGGAGGAUAAGGAAUAAGGAGAAAGAAUUAAAGAUUAAAAUGAAUGAAAUGCUUGCUACAAUUCUAAUUUUUUAUUUUUUUUCCCUUUUUUUGUGAUAGACAUUUUUUCCUUGAAGAAAAAAUAACACAAAGACAAUAAAUGUUAAUUAAGGAUUUUCAAACAUUCUGGCAUCAGCUGGUGAUAAUAAUAUCAUCUUCGUUACAUGCCUUUUUACUCACAAUAAAAAAAAAAGGCAUGUCAGUAUAAGUUACUUAAUUCUGCUCUCAAGUUUCCCCUCCUCUCGUAUAGUAUAAACUGCCUUACAGUCACUAGCAGCCUACUACAAUAAAAGCUAGGGUAAUAUUAAUAUCCUGUAAUCUGAACCCUAAAUAGCUGGGAAUUCCCAGUCAAGUCUUGCUGAUAAACAAAUGUAUCCCAGUGCCUAUUUAGGAUUGCGGAGGAAAAGGUUUUUUAGCUAGUAGAUAUUCUUUUUUUUUUGUUAAAGUAUUUUCUACUUAAUAAUGUAUAAUUCUGAAAUUUUUUGAAACAUAUUUCUCUCUUCAUUUAGUUAAAGUUUAUGAUAAAAUGGUUAAAAUCAAAUUUUUAUUUUUUUAAAAUAUAGAAAAAAAUUCUAAGAGUGCCAAUUUCGAGCUUGUAUUAAAAAUGCCUGAGUGCCAAAAAAUUUUACUCCUAAAUUCAAAAAAUGAUACCUUAAAAGUUCUUUUAUUCUCCAAAUAUACUUUUUCAAUACAAGCAGUACCGUAAUAUCAAACAGACUCCCAGUAUCUCAAAAAAAAAAAAAAAAAAAAAAGAAGCAAGAAUAGCUGCCAACGGUUUCAAAAAGUUAUUGUAUGAUUCAAUAUCACGUGUGAAUAGAGCUGUUAAUCGAGCCGAGUAUUUGGCUGCCGAACUCGACUCGAGCUCGUUAGGAAAACGGGUUUUAAAAUGUGUUCGAACUCGACUCGUUAAAUAUACAUGUGGCUUGAGCUCGAGCUCGAGCUCGACUCGUUUAUCACAAACGAGUCGAGUUUCACGAGCUCGAGCUCAAGUUCGUGCAAAUUAACUUUAAUAAAAAUCUAUAAUUUUUAAUUUUUAUAAUUUUGAUUUUUAAAAUAACAAAUAUACCCUUCAUUAAUGAGUUCUAACGAGCUACUCGAGUAUCAAACGAGCCGAGCUUGUUAACUAAACGAGCCUGUUUCGAGCUCGAGCUCGACUUGUUAAUCAAAAUUAACGAGUCGAGCUCGAGCUUUAAUGAGUCGAGCUCUAACGAACUUUCGAACUACUCGAUUGAUUUAAGCUCUACGUGUGAAUCUCACAAAAGGGUGUAUUAAAAUUACAAUUGUGUUCAAAGUAAUUUAUAUUAUUAUUAAACAAACAGAAUUACAAUUUGUUCAAAUAUAUGUAACCCUCCUCGAGGAUAGGCUGCUAGCUUGAUAGGUACUUUACCCUCAACCCUCAAGGAUAGGCAGCUAGCUUGAUAGGUAUUUUAUAUAAAUUGAUAGAUACUUUACCCUCAAGGAUAGGCUGCUAGCUUGAUAGGUAUUUUAUAUAAAUUGAUAGGUAUUUUACCCUCAAGGAUAGGCAGCUAGCGUGAUAGGUAUUUUAUAUAAAUUGCUAGGUACUUUACCCACAACCCUCAAGGAUAGGCUCUAGCUUUUGACUUGGUUCGGACUAGAGAAGAUGACAAACGGAUGUAGGGUCUUGAUUUAUGCCCUCUCUACUGCUCCGAAAUCUUCUUGUUAAAAUUCUCGACUAAGUGAAAGAAGGCCAAUUGCACCCCCCUCAACUUUUGAAAUCUCCGGAAUAACCUAAAAAAAUUUGUCUGAAUUUUUUGAAAUAUAUUUCUCUCUUCAUUUAGUUAAAGUUUAUGAUAAAAUGGUUAAAAUCAAUUUUUUAUUUUUUAAAAUAUAGAAAUAACUCUAAAAGUGCCAAUUUCGAGCUUGUAUUAAAAAUGCCUACGUGGCAAAAAAUUUUACUCCUAACUUCAAAAAAAUGAUACUUAUUAAAUACAUUAAAAGUGCUUUUAUUCUCCAAAUGUACUUUUUUAGAACAAGCAAUACCGCAAUCUCAAACAGACUCCUAGUGUCUCAACGAAAUAUAGCCAAGAACAGCUACCAACAGUUCCGAAAAGUUGGGCCUAUUUAGAACCUGAGUUUUUUAGGAGUUUGUCUAAAACUUUACUGUAGUGCACUGUAGAAGUUUUUGAAAAAAUUUUGUAGAAGUUUUUAUAAGGUGAAAAUUUUUUUUUGUAAGAUGAAAAAUUUUGUAGAGUGAAAAACUUUUUUUUUCCUUUUCUUUUUUUUUUCUCUUUCUCUUUCUUUUUCUUUUCUUUCUUUCCUUUUUCUUUUCUUUCCUCUCUUCUUCUUUUUCUUCUUCCUUUUUCUUCUUCUUUUUUCUUUCUUUCCUCCCCGUUACCUCCCAGCAGCACUUACGCCCGCCACCCCUCUCCUCCCUUUCCCCUUCUCCUCUCGCCACCUUCCCUCUGCGACCGUGACCCCCUCCCCCCCGCCACCCCCUGCCCUUUCCCCCUGCCACCCCCUGCCCUUUCCUCUGCCAGCAUGACCCCCUCCCCCCCACCCCUUUUCCCCAGCUUCUCCCGCCCCCUUCUGCCCUUUCUCUGACCCCUCUCCUGCCAUUUCCCCAGUUUCUCCUGCUACCUCCCAUGCGCGACCCCCUCCCCCGCCACCCCCUGCCCUUUCCCCAGCACGACCCCCUCCUCCCGCCACCCCCCGGACGGCGCUGAAAUAGUCCUCCGGUUUCCGGCAAAAAGCAUCGAGGAAUUUACGGAACUUGGAACGUUUCGUCGCGGAGGAUUUCCUCUUCUGCAUCCAGUUGAAUAAGGAAACCAUCACGUUGAAUUUGAUGUCAAAUUCCUCCAUUCUGGACUUUUUUUUCCCCCUUUUUUUCUUUUUCUGGGCUAUGAUUUUGCUUGUUCGGUUCUUGGGGUUCUAUGUUCACUUUUUGUGUUUGAAAAUGAAGGAUUUAAAAACUGCCUGAAAUGGGGAGGGGGAAGGGGGUAGGGCUGGCAGAGGGGAAGAGGGGAGGGGGGAGAGAAAAAAAAACUUUGUGUAUGGCCGGAACUGGCCGCCGGAAUAGUAACUGGCGUCGGAAGUGGUGCUGGAGGUGGUGGCCGGCAGCGGAGGAUGUGGUGGGUUGGGUGGGGGCGGAAAAAGAAAAAAAGUUUGAAGGGAAAGUUUUUUUUGUGUAUUUUUGAAGUGUGUAGGUAAAAAGUUUUGGGAAGUUUUUUGGGGUUCCUGUAGCAAAAGUUGUUAAAAAACUAGUAGGUAAAAAAUUUGGUCUAAAAACUCACUUCCAAACAGGCCCGUUAUUUUAUCAAAUUAACUUUACUCAAAUACAUAACCCUAAUCAUAUUAUAUUCAUAAAUAUAUAUAUUUUAAAUUAUUAAUCCAUUUAUAUCCAAAUCCGGGUCUAAUACGUGGCAGAAUACUAUAUUCCGUAUUCAACCCGUUUUUUGUUUGACAAAAUGGAUCCGGAUCAGGAUCCGGAUAACGGAAUUAAAUCCCUAUCCGUACCCGCAAUAAUUUCACGGAUCCGGUCCGGGUCUAAAUCCGAACCAUUGACAGGCCUAAUUGUAUGAUUCAGCGUCAUGUGUGAAUCUCGCAAAAGGGUGUAUUAAAAUUACAUUGUGUUCAAAGAAAUUUAUAUUAUUAAUCAAACAGAUUUAAAAUUUGUUCAACUAGAUGUAACCCUUCUGGCAGCGCAACGGUCCCUGCCCUUAUGGAUAGGCUGCUAGGUUGAUAGGUAAUACCAUACCAUUGAGUAAUAGCAACCUCUGGCUGGUAUGCCAAACUAUCUACAAAAGAUAAGCUGUUAGCUUGGUAGGUAAUACCAUACCAUACCAUUAAGUAAUACCAUGCCUUUAUUGUCCUUUUGUGUUGUUGCUUUUGUAUAAGGGAACUCUUGAGACUAAGAAGCUAGAGAAUCACACUGGGCAAAAGUUACAGUAACUGAAUUUAGAUUGAACAAACCAUCAGCCUUUGGGUUAGUGGUGACCACCAAGCGGAAGCCUUAUCUCCUAAUUGCCAUAUUAUGUGGCUCUCUAAAAAAUCUAGACGGGUGUGUACUAUACCCGUUGUAUACCCAUCUAAUUCGAUGAUGGUUCAAUUCCCGUCGAUUCUCUUCCAUUGGCUCAGUUGGGCCUUCACUUAAAAUAGGUUAGAGUAGGAGUAGGAGUAUAUGUAAAGUAAACUAUUGUCGACCGUAAAAAAAAAAAAUUUAGAUUGAACAUGAAUUUAGCAAUUUAGCCACCUGAAAUGCUAUCCUGAUAAGUUGCCAAAACUGAAGUUUAUGCUCAAAAAAAUUGCUGGAACUGAACACUGCUCCAAACGGGACUAAUGGGUUUUAUUUUGUUUACUCCAGGAAACUUUUAUAGAUCCAGGGUUAGAAGUGUUAUUCCUCUUGAUAUACUGAUUGAAUUUUCUAAGCUUCCUCAAGUCAUUUGCCUAACUUUUGAAUUGGUUCGGACCAAAGAAGGAUGACAAACAGAUGUAGGCAGGAGUAGGGUCUUGAAUCUUGUUAAAAUUCUCGACUGUGGAAGAAGGCAUAUCAAUUUUAGCUAUUAGACUAAAACUUUCUCGAUAUAUUGAAAAUUUGACAUUCACUACGUCAUAACAUGUUUUAACGUAUGAUCACCAUUUUCUUGUUUUGAACAUACACGUCAGUCAUUCAAUGUGGCUAAUUAAUAUCUGUAUAUUGCUAAUUCUUUCCACUAAUUAAGUGAUAAGAUAAUUAUUUUGAACGAUAUUUGUAGGAAAAUUGUAACAUAAUAUUUUAUUAAUAACCGCUUUUGUGAUAGUAAAAGAAGUUAGAAAGUAAUUCCUGAAAUUAAUCCCACAUCGAUCAAAGGGGGGUUGAGGGUUAGAUUAUUAGUUUCCUGGAUGAUCUCAAGAGUUGCCGGUUUUUGAGAUUUACUUGGGAUUAAGGGUUAGUAAUUUAAUUCUGGUUUCUUCAUUGAAAGUAAUUCUUGAAAUUAAUGUGGUUAAAAAAACGCUCCAUCCAAACAGAAAAUUCACGUCUUUUGAUUCUUUUUGUCUUUCGUGGAAGUAAUCCACGAAUUGGACACUUGAGAAAAAAUGGAGCAUCGAUUAAAAGAACAAUCAAGUUUACGUGACCAGAUAAAAAGAACAAUGAGCAGGGGCGGAGUCAAGGCCAGCCCAAUUGCACCCUCCUCAACUUUUGAAAUCUCUAGAAUAACCUAUAAAAAUUUGUCUUUUAUUGUUGUUGCCCAACUUUUGCCUCCCUUGAAAUUUAAUAAUAUUCCCUCUAACCUUACAAUUCCCCCCCCCACCCAAAAAUUUUAAAAUUGUAUGCAGUUACCACCAUCAUUUCUACAAUGCAACAUUAACAUAAAAUAUAUUAUACGAUGCUAUUUUUAUUUUCUUUCUAACAAAUCUUAUUCACUCAACAUUAAGCUUAUCAUAUAUAUUAAACUAUAUGAAUUACAAGCAAAUCAAACAUAUAUAUAUUCAUUUGACUCUCUAUACAUUAUCCGCCUAUUGUAUGUAUGAAUAUAUACAUCUAAUACGCAAUGCAUAAUUUAAUUAUUAUGCACUUUUAUACAAUUUUUAUGCAUAGUUGUAAUUACUAUGUAAUUUUAUCCCAUUAGAAGACCUGAUAAUUUUUGCAAAUGAAAACAAGUUGUAGAUAAUUUUUUAAAUUAUUUUAAUAUUAAGUAAAGUGGCAGUACAUCAAAGACAUUUAGUUAUCCCAAAAAUAUCCCAAAAAUCUAUAACACAUUGUAAACCUAUGUUAGUAUUGUAAACCUAUGUUAGUAUUAUUACAGGAGAUUAUACAACUCCUUCUGGUAUCGUAUCCUCAAGUCAAAUUCAUGGUUAGAUGGUGAAAUAAGUUUUUCGGACCCUUAGACUGUAUUACUUCAAUCAUUUAAAAUUUGAACCACUAUUAAUUACCACUAAAAGAUAAAAAUUACGGGAAUGGUUUCUCAAGGGGAAUAUAAAAUUUUCUUAUUAUUGCGCCUCAUGAAUAAAGGUCCUAACUCCACCAAUGACAACGAAGGAUGGCAGCUGGCUGAAAUUAUGCGGAAGGAUUAUGCACAUAUCCGCAUCUUUUGAAUCAUUCCUAUUCACCAAUAUAAACCCCCAAGCUGUGGCAUCUUGAAACCACAACCAGAUACCAGUUCACUUAGAAAGUUUGAAACACCAUGAAGUUCACCUACACUUUGUCCCUUCUGGUUUUGUGCCUAACUUUGUACUUAACCUUCACCAAUGCUGCAAAUUUCAACAUUAUAAACCAAUGUACCUACACAGUUUGGGCAGCUGCUUCCCCAGGCGGUGGCAGGCGGCUCGACCGAGGCCAAUCAUGGUCCCUAAACGUGGCUCCUGGCACCACCCACGCUCGCAUUUGGGGCCGAACCAAUUGCAACUUUGAUGCCAAUGGCCGAGGCCAAUGUCAAACAGGUGACUGCAACGGGGGCCUCGUAUGCCAAGGCUAUGGAAAGCCUCCGAAUACACUAGCUGAAUUCGCCCUAAACCGGCCUAACAACGUAGACUACAUCGACAUUUCCAACGUUGAUGGAUUCAACAUCCCAAUGGAGUUCAGCUCCGUUACUCGUUGCCGUAAUAUCAGAUGUUCAGCGCCUAUUGUUGAUCAAUGCCCAGCUAAGCUAAGAACUCCAGGUGGAUGCAACAAUCCCUGCACUGUCUUUAAAACAAAUGAGUUCUGUUGCACCAAUGGCCCAGGAAGCUGCCGCCCGACCGACUUCUCCAGGUUCUUUAAGAGCAGGUGCCCUGAUGCUUAUAGCUAUCCUCAAGAUGAUCCCACAAGCUUGUUUACUUGCCCAAGUGGUACAAAUUAUAGGGUUGUCUUCUGCCCUUAAAUAAAGCUAGAUAUUUAAGGUUCUUGUGACAGCUUAUAUGCUCCAAGAACUUCACUAGAAAAGUAGAUUAUGAGAAAUAAACGCAUAUGUGAACCUUCUGGUAAUGGUUCACUGGAAUUGGGAUAAAUUUGAGCACAUAUAGCAUUGUGCGGUUUGUCUUCUUUAUCAGCUUUUUGGCUUUAUAAACUACUUAUGAACUAGAUGACCAGUUCAAAACUAAUGAAGUUUUACUAAAUUAAUCAGUAAGAAGGAUUUACGGAUCUCUAGUUUUAAAUUAGAUUGUCAAAAUACUUUGUUCCCCACACUUCGAAAAUUUGAGUCAUGUUUAGGUUUAACUUACAUAGGAGAAUUCCUUUUUUUUUUUUUUUCUGAAAUUCAGACCAUCUCUCCAGUCAAAUACUAAGAUGUCAUAUAAAUCAAAUUAAUUUGUUUAAGUGUAUUACACAAUCAUACUUCAUGUAUAUAAAUGUUACCACAAAAUCAAGAGUAAGAAAAGUUUGUCUUGCAACUAUUCAAGAAAUGGAAGCUUGGUGUAAAUUCAAAACAAAAAUGGAGAUUUCUAUACUAAGGUAAACCCCAAAAUAAUUGAAAAUGAUAAUCUCAUGAAAUAACAAAGAUGGUGAGAUGAAAGAUUACUAAGUAAGAUAAAGGUGCGAUUAAGGCGUUCAAUCGAGGAAACUUGUAGAUGCCAAAUUGACAAUUUGAUGCACAUAUGCUUAAUAGUAUUCAAGUGUUCAUUCUUAAAAGUUGGAAUUGGGCCAAUAUUGUAAUUCAGCCCGGUUGUAUAUUUAUUACAUUAUACUGUUAUAUUCAUGGAAACAGUGAUGUAAAUGAAUAAAACAUUUCAUCUACAGUGAAUAUAAUAUUAGGGUAAAUUAUUUAUAAUUCUUCUGUAAUUUUAUAUAAUGUCAGACGAUCUCCCAUAUGUUUCAAAAUAGUCACAUCACCCCCUAUGAUUUUAUGUAAAGCAGAGAAUAAAUAAAAAGUACUAUCAAUUACAAUGUGUAUACCAAACGUGCUCUAAAAAUAUGUGUCAUAAAAUCUUAGUUUUCAUGUAAUCCACUUAUGAGAUGUAUAAUUAUCCACUUUACCUCCUAUAAUUUUUGUAUUUAUCCAAAUAAUCCCCUAUGCUUUUAUAUAAGAUAGUUAAACUGUCAAUUGAUUUAGCAUUUAUACAAGGGCACUAUUAAUAUGUUAAUUAAUAGUCGUCCAAGCAACCAUCAAGACACAGCCAACAGAACAAGCUAUUAGCAACUCAAAUUUUAUCAAUCAUUACAUGUACUAGAGCUUAAUUGGCAAGGAAGAAGUGAAUUUACUUGGCUUUUAAUUCGUUCUUUAUCCUCGAAGCAGUCUUUGCAUAUCUACCAGAGGGAAUUUUGUCAAUGUAUUAACUGCAUUUCCCUGCUUCACUAAUGGUUAGAACAUAAAUAAAGCAAGGUGUUCUGGAACAACGUCAAAUCAAACAUAAAACCAAUUUAUGCAUGACAAGGGCAGAAAUUAAGGUCAAUACAUGCUGCUAAAUUUACUCCAUUACCAAGGACAACUUCACCGAUGAUCUUGGGAUUUGUAGUAGUUGUUGCGAUGGUGAACAACCAUGGUGCUGUACUUGUAAUCUGUCCUUGUACAAGACCAUUAUUUCCUGCCGAUUACAGUAAGUAUUCCCUUCUGUGCUGCAUGAAAAGAUCCAAUUGCUAUAGAAUUAUCUUUCAAUCAACCGGAUAAUUGAAACCAAUUAAAAUUGUAAUAAUGUCUACUCCAUCGGCUAUAGCAUCGUUGAAUCAAGCCAAUAUAUCAGCAUCAUCACAGCAUGGAAAAGCACAAGCAUUGUAUACAGCAUUCCUUGCUGCAGGCGCCCCUCCUCGUAUAGUACCUUCUACAAUUCCAUAGUAACUCACAUCCAUGACAAUGUUUCCUGCAGCUGUGUGCGUUCCAUUAUGACCCUAUAAAUCUGUUGCAGAAUCUGAUACAUGGUACCGAGCUCCAAUAAUUUUUCUGUAGACAUGUACACAUCAAAAUGAUAAUCGAAGUUUCCCAUUCAACAUUUCCUAUGUAAACUAACAAAAAGUAGAAACUUUUCCUGUUGCACAUGAAAUCAAUCCCGCCGUAACACACUCCUUUCCAUUUGCUGGGAAUAGGACCAAAACUUUGUUCACGAAAACUCUCUGAUUCUGGCCAAAUUCCAGAAUCAAGUAACUCCUAUGACUAUAUCACUCUCAAAUGCAAGAUUUCGGGGGGCACUUAUAGGAAAACAAAUAAAGUCGCACGAUGCUGUUGUAUAAGUUGAAGCCUUUUGCUUGGAAAUAUAGAAACCACAUGAUCAUGAGCUGCAAAUUUAGUUAAGAACUCACACAUUAGUGGAAGAUUAAUAGAUUUCAAAAAUCAGGAAAGUUGAAAGAGACUAACGUUGCAAAAUUGCACAGACCAGCCAACUUUUGCUGCUCUUGCUUUGUAAGGUAGGCUGAAAAUCCAUUGAAACUCCUAGUAUAACUUCUUCCCAAGAUUUCCCCUUGAUAAUUUCCAUGACAUAAAGAAAAAGAAAUAAAUAAUGUUAUAAAAAAGUUUUUUUUAUGCAUCAAUUGGUAUGUAGUAUAAGUUUGUGGGCACUGAAUAUAUGCAUUAAUUGCUAUCUUAAGCUUCUUCCAGGAUACUAACAUGGUGCUCGGAAGCUGAAUAUUCUCUUUCAGGAUGCGAUUCCACGUAAACUGUAAACCUGUCAUCAAGUAAAAGAAAACUAUCAUUUCUUGACUUGCUGCAUGUUAUUGAAUUUGAACGCUUCAGUUAUGCGACAGUUAUAUUUAUCGUGUAAAAUGUUGUAGUUAUGAUCACUACAUUGAAGUACAAUGCUGCAAAUUCAAUAUAUUACCCGAUACGCAUUAAUCAAAGAAAAUUAAUCUUUUACAGAAAUGAAAAGAGAAGAUAUCAAUGGCACUAUUGCCAAUACUGAUGGGCAACAUAUCCAGUUCUAUAGGCAACAUUAGCCAUUGUUUUCAGGAAUUACAUUUUCUAGCUCCAACUAUAUAUUGUUACUUAUGUUCCUUAAUGUAUGUUAAUCUCUAUUAGUACAUUUUUUCAGACCUAAAAGAUUUCUGGGUCGUACAAUACGAAAUCAAAAGGUGAUGUGUACAAAUGGUCCUUAGAAAGGGUAAGCCUGUCUCUUAGGACUUAAAUACAAGGAUCAAAGAUGCAUGUCCCAUUUUGUGCAUAAUUAAUAUCAAAAACCAACCUGAUUUGUUUAGAAAAGUUUGUUAAAACAAUGCAACAUUACCUUUAGUCAAAAAUCGUGGGCUAUUGUUGCAUUUAUGAGUUACAUAAAAGUCAUCCAUACAGGCAGAAGAAAUCCAGCAUUUCUUGCGGCUUUGGAGUGCUUCGUUUUUACUCAUGCUUGUAUCUUGAGCCAGAUUUGAUAUCUCAAGAAUGAGACUCUGAUAAGAUUAGAGUAAGUAUGCUCAAGAUUUGAAGCGAGGCUCAACUUAGUAAUGUUUUGUGCAAGAUUAUUUGUGAGUGUUGUUAUUUUAUACAUUUUUUUAGUGUAAUGUAUUAUUUGUUUGCCUUUAUUAUCAGUAGACUUAAUCCAUUAAUUUGGUAAAUCCACCACAAUCUAACAAAGCUCUGUUACUCGGGGAGUCCCAUGGACACAGUACCCGUACAAAAUAAAGAUUCCAACAUAGAUAUGGGAGGGCAAAAUAGAGAGUCUGAAAAACAUAAUAGAAAAGCUUGAGAAGGGAAGUGGAUAAUGGACCAAUGAGAACAAGAAAAUAAAACAAUUAAACCCUAAUAUUUAUUCUCAUCCACUUAUUGAGUAGAAGGAUCAUGUCAUGAAAUCAAAAGAUUAUGGAAUAACUUGUAACAAAAUAUUUUUCCCGUAAUGAUAUACUAUAUCCCAUAUGAUUGAAGAAAAAGAAAAAUGACUUGCCUGACUUUCUUCACCAGAAUGGUGCAUAAUAGGCUCAUUAGAAUUGCUAAUACAAAUAAGAAACAAAAUGCUAUAAACCCAAAAGAGUAGUACAGCGACCCUAAAACAUGCUUUAACUUUUCCUUAAAGUUGUGACUCAAAUAUUUAAGAUCACAACAAAGUUCUCAUUUCAAUUGUUCUAAAUGCAACAACGAGCUGCAUGCAUAUUGACUUGUCUUGCUACAUUGAUUAAUAGUUUUUAACGUUGGAAAGGAAACACAAAAAAUUUAAGCUAUAGUGAUGAUUGAGUAAUAUUUCUGAGAUCUGAAUUAAAAUGUGUAAUACCUUUCCUAUUUCGGAUGGUAUGAAUUAUGCGUUAUGUUUCUUGUAGGGAGAUGUAAGUUGGCCUACCUACCUUCCAUUUUUGCCUAUAAAAGAAAUUUUUUGUUCAAUAUAAUACUGGAACUAAUAAGAAUUAGAAAAGUAUUUCUAUUUCCAGUCAAAGAAAAUUGAGACGUCAAAACCAGAAACCUUAUUGUAACUUGAAUGUUUGUGAUGUCUUUUGUAAGCAUUAUUUUCCAUUCAGUUGGUACUAGCUUAAUUAUCUUUAGUAAGGUUCUAUUUGAUAAUUUAACUCAGCACUCAAACUUAAUGGGUUCAGAUCAUAAUAUGUUCAAACGCAUUUGAUAACUAAAAAUAAGACAUUUGAAUUAAUUAAGUGACACUGAAUUUUGCACAAUUUAUUUCAAAAAUAAGUGAUAAAUUAUUCAAGUAUCACUUAAUGUGAUAUACAUUUAAAUGUUUCAGAUUUAAUACUCAACAAUUCAGUAAAUUAACGAAUUUAGACUUUAGAUUUCAAAUUUCAUUUUUCAAACUUUAGUUUUAUCAAACGUACCCUAAGGGUGUGUUUGAUAAAACUGAAGUCUGAAUCUAUUAAAUUAUUGAAUUUUUAAGUAUUAAAUCUAAUACAUUUGACUGCAUAUCACAUUCAGUAAUAAGUGAAUAGCUUAUCACUUAAUUUUGGGAGCAAAUUUUGCCUAGAAAAUUUAAUACUAUUUAAUUAAUUCAGAUGUUAAAUUUUUUAUUAUCAAAUGGUCUGAAUAUAUUAAAAAUUGAAUCCAUUAAGUUUAAAUGCUGAAUUGGAUUAUCAAACAGAAUCUAAGUCUAUUAAGGGGAUUGAACCAAUAAAUUUGAUGAGUUUCAGUUUAACAAUAUAUUUAACAAAUUAUCACUGCCCAAUAAGGGCCCAUCUAAAAACACUUGAAACAAGUGCAUGCUUGUUUGGUGAUUUCCGGCUGGGCUCCCGCUGCUCUUGCAGUGUCCAUUAACGAAUUCCUAUUGUCAAUUUUGGGUCGUAUAUCCACCAGCCCAUGGAAUUUAUUUACAAAGGGAAAUCCUUUUAAGUUGUGAAUUUAAUUAGUAUAACGAGAAAUAAUUUGAGAAAAUUACAACAAAGUACAAACCAUAUGUGCAAGUUUUCUCAAACACAUACCAAUUAUGAAUAGCUUAAGAAAUGAUGAAUAAAUCAUCUUUUUCAGCUUUUCUUUUUGGCCCAUUGUUAAAUCUUCUUUGUUCCCUCAACAAAAAAAAAAAGAAGAAAGAAAUAAACUUCAUCUUUUUAAUUAGUGAAUAAAAUGUAUAUGAAGAGAAAAAGAUAAUUAAAUAUCUUAAUACUAAAACAUAAUGCUACUUAAGAAGUUUCAAAAAUUUUGGUAUCAGUUAGUGAUAAUAAUUUCUCCUAACGCAUUCUUUUAUCUACUACAAAAAAAAAACGUUAUAACUUAUUAUAAAAACCAUCCAAAAUCACAUUGAUUCUUAAGUAUUCCCCUUUCUCCUUGUAAGGGAUGAAUUGCAUCCAAAUCAGGUUCCUUACAAGUGGCUAGCACCCUAAUGGCCUAAUCCAUGGAAGCCAUAUUACAAAAGUGGACUACAAAAGCUAGGGGAAUAUAAUUUCCCAUACUUCUUAUUGUAAUCAUUCCCAAUUUACCUUGGCAUAUACUGGUUUGUUACAAGACUUCAAUCGCUAGCUCUGAACCUCUGGCUAGUAUGUAAUGGCAGAUUAUCUACUAGGAUCAGAGGCAGUUACUAGAUUGGAAAUCAAUACCAGACUAGUAGUGCCCUUUAUCUUGUUGCUUUUGUAUCAUUGGGUUCUUGAAAACAAAAGGCUAGAGAAUCACACCGGGCACAAGUUGCAGUAAAUGAAUUUUGAUUGAACAUGAAUUUAGCAUUUUACCCACCUCAAAUGCUAUUCUGGAAAGUUGCCAAAACUGAAGUUUAAGCUCAAAAAACUGCUUGAACACUGCCCCAAACAGGGCCUUUUUUUUUUUUUUUUUUUUUUUUUUAAAAACUACUUGAGUAAGUUCUACGAAAUCCAGGACUAGAAACUCUUGUUCCACUUGAUACGCUGAUUGUCUUGAUGCCAUUUGCCUAACUUCUGAGUGGAUCGGGACUGGAGAAGGAAGACAAACGCAUGUGUGGCCUUCAUUUAUGCCCCGUCUGCUGCUUCAGAAUCUAGUUGCAGUUCCCGUCUAAGAGGAAGAAUCUAAAGGACAAAGAAACAAGCAGAAGACUUUAGUAGUCAUGAAAUUAUCAUUAGUCUCCUCAGGGCUGGAAUUUGAAAAAAACCCUGAAUACUAACAUGUUGAUAUUGGCUACCCAGAACAGAAAGUUAUCGCUAAAAUAAUUACAAGCUAAUACCAUCAUUUCUAAUUUUGAACUUACGUUUCAGUGUAUCUAAUCCUUAUUAAUUUGUAUAAUUGCUAAUUCUUUCUACUAAUUAAGUCAAAAGAGAAUUGUUUUGAAUGAUCUUUUUUCUUUUUCGAAAAUUGUAAUAUAAUAUUUUGAUCAUAAGCGCAUUUGAGAUUUUCAAAGAUGUUAGAUAGUGAUUCUUGAAAACAACGAAAAACUCCACCCAAACAGAUAAGCCAUGUCUGUAUCUUUUUUCUAUCUUUCUUAGAGGUAAUCCACGAAUUGGACACUAACUAAGAAAACAUCAUAACAUUGACAUAUUAGAACACUGAAGUUCACAUUACCAGAAGAAUAAAAAAUGAGGGAUGAGAACUGACUGAAAUUAUGCAGGAGGAUUAUUGAGAGAGAAGCAUCUUCGAAUCAUUCCUAGAAUACAAGACAAGACCAUCAACAUCUCUGAAAUUUCUCAUGUAGAAAAUUUGUUAAGAAGAUUAACAUGUACGCGCAAAAUGAUAGCAGCCAAUCGCCCUAUAUAAACCCCCAAGCUGUGGCAUCUUGAAACCACAACCAGCUACCAGUUCACUUAGAAUUUUUGAAACACCAUGAAGUUCACCUACAUUUUGUCCCUUUUGGUUUUGUGCCUAACUUUAUACUUCACUUUCGCCAAUGCUGCAAAUUUCAACAUCACAAACAAAUGUACCUACACAGUUUGGGCAGCUGCUUCCACAGGUGAUGGCAGGCAACUCGACCGAGGCCAAUCAUGGUCCCUAGAUGUGGCUCCUGGCACCACCAAAGCUCGCAUUUGGGGCCGAACCAAUUGCAAAUUUGAUGCCAAUGGCCAGGGCCAAUGUCAAACAGGUGACUGCAACAAGCGCCUCAAAUGCCAAGGCUAUGGAAAUCCACCAAAUACGCUAGCUGAAUUUGCCCUAAACCAGCCUAACAACUUAGACUACAUCGACAUCUCCAACGUUGAUGGAUUCAACAUCCCAAUGGAGUUCAGCUCUGUAACUCCGUGCCGCGUUAUCAAAUGUUCGAAACCUAUUGUUGAUCAAUGCCCAGCUCAGCUAAGAACUCCAGGUGGAUGCAACAACCCCUGCACUGUUUUUAAAAGAAAUGAGUACUGCUGCACCAAUGGCCCAGGAAGCUGUGGCCCGACCGACUUCUCCAGGUUCUUUAAGAGCAGGUGCCCUGAUGCUUAUAGCUAUCCUCAAGAUGAUCGCACAAGCUUGUUUGCUUGCCCAAGUGGUACAAAUUAUAGGGUUGUCUUCUGCCCUUAAAUAAAGCUAGAUAUUUAAGGUUCUUGUGACAGCUUAUAUGCUCCAAGAACUUCACCAGAAAAGUAGAUUAUGAGAAAUAAACGCAUAUGUGAACCUUGUGGUAAUGGUUCACUGGAAUUGGGAUAAGUUUGAGCACAUAUAGCAUUGUGCGAUUUGUCUUCUUUAUCAGCAUUUUGGCUCUUUAAACAACUUAUGAACUAGAUCACCAGUUCAAAACUAAUGAAGUUUUACUAAAUUAAUCUGUAAGAAGGAUUUACAGAUCUCUAGUUUUAAAUUAGAUUGUCAAAAUACUUUGUUCCCCGCACUUCAAAAAUUUGAGUCAUAUUUAGGUUUAACUUACACAGGAGAAUUCCUUUUUUUUGGAAUUCAGACUAUCUCUCCAGUCAAAUACUAAGGUGUCAUAUAAAUCAAAAUAAUUUGUUUUAGUGUAUUACAUAAUGUUACCACGAAAUCCAGAGUAAGAGAAGUUUGUCUUACAAACAUUGAAGAAAUGGGAUGUUGGUGUAAAUUCAAAACAAAAAUGGGGAUUUCCAUGCUAAGGUAGACCCCAAAACAAUUGAAAAUGAUAAUCUCAUGAAAUAACAAAGAUGGUGAUAUGAAAGUUUACUAAGUAAGAUAAAGGUGCAAUUAAGGAGCUCAAGUGAUGUGGAAACUCGUAGAUGCCAAAUUGAUAAUUUGAUGCACUCAUGCUAAAUAGUACUAAUUCACUCUUAAAAGCUGGAAUUGGAGCCACUGCUAGAAGUUCCAUGAAGUUCAGUUCAAUUGUUAUAUUUAUUACGUAAUAUUAUUAUGCUUUUGGAAAAAGUAAUAUACAUGAACGAAAAUACUUGGUAUGUAGUGAAUACAACAUUAUAAUGUAGUUGUCUACCAAAAAUUUAAAUACACACAAUAAAAUAAUGCAUAUCUAUUCAAAUUAUGUAUCAGAAAAGAGUUAAAUAUUGCUCUAAGGAUAAAAAAUUAAGUGAUUAUAUAAUUGUUUUGAACGCUAUUUUUAGGAAAAUCAUUAUAUAGCAUCUUAGUGAUAACUGCUUUUGUGAUAUUAAAAGAUGUUAGAAAUAAUUCCUGAAAUUAAUCUGGUUAAAAAACGCUCCAUUCAAACAGAAAAUUCAUGUCCUUUUUUUUCUUUUUUGGUCUUUCGUAGAGGUAAUCCACAAAUUGGACACUUACGAAAAAGCAUUGGAACAUUGAUUGAAAGAACAACGAGGGAUGAGAACUGACUGAAAUUAUGCAGGAGGAUUAUGGACAGAUCCGCAUCUUUUGAAUCAUUCCUAGGAUACAAAACAAGACCAUCAACAUCCCUAAAAUUUCUAUGUAGAAAUUUGUUGAAAUAUCAACACUUCCAUGCAAAAUCAUAGCAACCAAUUCACCUAUAUAAACCCCCUGGCUGUGGCAUCUCCAAACCACAACAGCUACCAGUUGAAUUGGAAGGUUUUGAAGCACCAUGAAUUUCACCUACACUUUGUCACUUUUGGUUUUGUGCCUAGCUUUAUACUUAACCUUCACCAAUAGCUGCAAAUUUCAACAUUAACAAAAUAAACACAUAAAACAAUUAAACCUUUACCAUGUAUUCUCUUUUACUUAUUGAUCGGUCACAUCAUGAAAUACAAAAGGAUUAUAGAAUUACUUACUUAUAUAAAUAUAUUCCAGGGUAAUGUUAUCUAUUCCAUAUGAUUGAUGAAAAGCGAAAAUGACUUGCCUGUCUUUCUUCGUCAGAAGAGUACCUAAUAGCCGCACUAGAAUUGCCAGCACAAAUAAGAAAUAAAAUGCUGUAAAACCAAAAAGAGCAGUGCAGCCACUGUUGGCUUCUAAAUAUCAGCAUAGUGAUUGUUAUGGCUACAACAACUAACCACCCGAAAACAUGUUUUAACUUUUCCUUAAAGUUGUGACUUAAAUGUUCAACAUCUUAAUGUAAGAGGAAGGAUUCAAUUCCCAGACCUCUUACUUGCACUCCCUCCCCUUUAAACUAUUCAACUCAUCUCAUCCCCGAGUUGUAUGUAUAUUGACUUGUCUUGUUAUAUUAAUUAAUAUCUUUUAACGUUGGAAAGGAAAUACAAAAAGUUUAAACUAUAGUGAUGAUUGACUAAUUUUUGUGAGAUCUGAAUUGCCAUGUGCAAUACCUUGAAGGUGUAAAUUGACCUACCCACCUUCCAUCUUUUACUACUGCUGGGCAAUUAAAAUAAUUUUUCUUUGUUCAAUAUAAUAGUGGAAUUGGUAAGAAUUAGGAGAGUAUUUCUAUUUCUAGUCUAAGAAAAUUGAACAAAUUUGACAAAUUUCAGUUUAAAAAUAUUGACAAAUUAUCACUGCCCGAUACGGGCCCAGUCCAUCUAAAACACGCUUGAAGCACAGAGCAGAUUGAUUUGGUGGUUUCCGGUUGGGCUUCCGGUCCUUGAUCCGCGUCUAUUAACGAAUUCGUAUUGUCAAUAUUGGGCCGUAUAAUCCACCAGCCCAUGGAAUUUAAUUUAGGAAAAUAAAUUUCUUUUAAGUUGUGAAUUUAAUUAGUAGAACGAGAAACAAUUCAGAAAAUUAGUAUAAAGUACAAACCAUAUAGUACAUGUUUUUCUCAAUAAAAUACCAAUUAUGACUAGCUUAAGGAAUUGAUAAAUAAUUCAUCUUUGUUCAGCUUUUCCUUUUGGGUGAUUCCCAUUAAUAAAAUCAUCUUUGUUCUCUCAAAAAAAAAGAAAAGAAAAGAAAAGAAAGAAAGAAACGAACUCCAUCCUUUUAAGUGGUAAAUAAAAUGAAUAAAAAGAAAAAUGCAAAUAAAUAUCUUAACACUGCAAAAAAGAAAUUGAUAUUGAAACAUACUGAUAUUUAAGAAGUUUUUAUAAAUUUUGGCAUCACCUACAGAUAAAAUGAUAUCUCUGUAAUGUGCCUUUUAUUAACUAUAAAAAAAAAAUACGUUACAGAGGUUCCAGUGGCAGAGGUAGAAAUACUUUUCAGUUGGGGCACGAAUUAACUUUCCCAAUUUUUUUCCAAUUUACAAGUGGCUAAUAAUAACAAAAGAUUAUUUUUUUAAAGGAUCAAAUCUAAUAGACUGAUAAACCACCACUGCUUUGUUAAUGAAAAAUGCAAAGCUAUGGGCCAAGGUAAGGUAAAUAUGCAAGCAAAAGUACGUUGGAACUUGGCAUCUAAAGAUUUGCAGCUAUUUGCUUUCUUCUUUGUUUACGUUUUGAUAAAUUAUACAAUAAUGACUAUGCUAUAUAAUAACUAUUUCAAAAUCCAGCCAAGGCACAAUUUAGAAUUUUCAAGAAAUCUCAAAACUAUUCUAGGUACCUCAUUUGGGUCAAUAGGGAUAUGUGCCCCAUUGGCCACAACGUAAAUCUACCCUUUUUUUUAGUAAAAAAAGUUUGGGUGAAUUUGAUUUCGAUUAUCGUCACGGGUCAAAAUCUGUUUCCGGAACUAUAAGUCGCUUGCAGAAGUUCUUAUAAAUCACCCAACAACAGAGACCUCACAAUGUAAAUCCACUUAUAGGUUCUUAGUUCGACGAUCUGAAGCUUUCCUUUGCCAUAAUAAAGCAUGAACUACAUUCAAACUGCAUUCCUUACACUGGGCACAAGUAGCAGUAAAUGAAUUUUGAUUGAAUAUGAAUUUAGCAUUUUAGGCUUGUAGCAACCAGAAAUGCUAUUCUGGAAAGUUGCCAAAACUAAAGUUUAAGCACAAAAAACUGCUUGAACACUUCACGAAACUGCCCAAAUUGGGCUUUUAAUUUUUUUUCUCCAAUUACUUGAGUAACCUCUACGAAAUCCUGGAAUAGAAACUCUUGUUCUACUUGAUAUCCUGAUUGAAUUGUCUAAGCUUCUUGAAGCUAUUUGCCUAACAUUCGCUGGUCUCAGACUUGAGUAGGAAGACAAACAGACGUAUGGUCAUGAUUUGUGCCCAUUCGGCUGCACCAAAAUCUUGUUGAAACUCUAGACUAAGAGGAAGAUUCCAAAGAAAAAUAUCAAAACAGAAGACUUUAGGAGUUACGAAAUUGGCAUUUAGUCUCCUUGGGUGUGGAAUUUGAAAUCAUCAUCAAUACUAACAUGUUGAUAUUGACUACCUCACAACAGAAAGUUAUCGCGAAAAUAAUUAGAUGCUAAUACCAAACGUUUUAAUCUCUAACCAUCAUUUCUUAUGUUAAACAUAGGUUUUAGCGUAGCUAAUCAAUAUAUGUACAAUUGCUAAUUUUUUCCACUAAUUAAGUCAAAAGAUAAUUGUUUUGAAUGGUGUUUUUGCGAAAAUUCCAAUAAAAUAUUUUGUUAAUAAACACAUUUGAUAUUUUCAGAGAUGUUAGAUAGUGAUUCCUGAAAACAGUGAGGUUGAAAAAACAUUUCAACCAAACAGAUAAGUCAUGUCUGUUUCUUUUUUCUAUCUUAGAGAAUUGGACACUAAAGAAAAGAAAUUGUAACAUUGAUAUAUAGAACAGUCAAGUUCACAUCACCAGAAGAAUAAACAAUGGGGGAUGAGAUUAUGCAGAAUAUGGACGGAUAAGCAUCUUUGAAUCAUUCCUAGAAUACAAGAAAGGGCCAUCAACAUCUCUGAAAUUUCUCAUGUAGAAAAUUUGUUAAGAAGAUUAACAUGUACACGCAAAAUGAUAGCAGCCAAUCGCCCUAUAUAAACCCCCUACCUGUGGCAUCUUGAAACCACAGCCAGCUACUAAUUCACUUAGAAAGUUUGAAACACCAUGAAGUCCACCUACACUUUGUCCCUUUUGGCUUUAUGCCUAACUUUAUACUUAACCUUCACCAAUGCCGCAAAUUUCAACAUUAUAAACCAAUGUACCUACACAGUUUGGGCAGCUGCUUCCCCAGGCGGUGGCAGGCGGCUCGACCGAGGCCAAUCAUGGUCCCUAGACGUGGCUCCUGGCACCACCCAAGCUCGCAUUUGGGGCCGAACCAAUUGCAACUUUGAUGCCAAUGGCCAAGGCCACUGUCAAACAGGUGACUGCAACGGGCGCCUCGAAUGCCAAGGCUAUGGAAGUCCACCGAAUACGCUAGCUGAGUUCGCUCUAAACCAGCCUAACAACUUAGACUACAUCGACAUUUCCAACGUUGAUGGAUUCAACAUCCCAUUGGAGUUCAGCUCCGUUACUUCUUGCCGUGACAUCCGAUGUUCAGCGCCUAUUGUUGAUCAAUGCCCAGCUCAGCUAAGAACUCCAGGUGGAUGCAACAAUCCCUGCACUGUUUUUCACACAAAUGAGUAUUGUUGCACCAAUGGCCCAGGAAGCUGUGCCCCUACCGACUUAUCCAGGUUCUUCAAGGACAGGUGCCCUGAUGCUUAUAGCUAUCCUCAAGAUGAUCGCACAAGCUUGUUUACUUGCCCAAGUGGUACAAAUUAUAGGGUUGUCUUCUGCCCUUAAAUAAAGCUAGAUAUUUAAGAAAAGUAGAUUAUGAAGAAAUAAACGGAUAUGAGAACCAUCUUGUAAUGGUUCACUGAAAUUGGAAUAAAUUUGAGCACAUAUAGCAUUGUGCGGUUUGUCUUCUUUAUCAGCUUUUUGGCUCUUUAAACUACUUAUGAACUACAUCACUGCUUACCAAAUUAAUCUGUAAGAUGGAUUUACACAUCCCUUGCUCUGACCCCUGAUUGCAUUUCUUCAAUUUCAAAACUGAGUUACCAUGUUAAUUAGAAAACACAGUGUCCAUGGAUUUUAGUGGUUUUAUUAUCCAUUACGAUUUGUAAUAAAAGAUCCUGGAGAAAAACAAAAUAACAACAACGCAGACAAAAAAAGUUAUACGAUAAAAUUAAAAAAAAAGUAAAAAGUUCUUUUACCCCAUCUAACUUAGCCAUAUAAGAAAAGAAGCUACAAAGUUCAGGAGCAGCCAAGAAUACAUCCACUUUGCAAACAAUUGAUCCGUUUCCUUUUCUUCCACCUGUCAUACUCCUUUCUGUUUUCCUUUCUCUUUUCUUCAAGUAUCAUCCAUGAAUCAGUUCCAGCAAUUUGAGGUAACAAUAAAAUCUAGGCUGUUCGGUGUCGUGGUUCAAUGGAUCUGAUACCACAUCUUGGACGGGUACAAGCUUUGCCCGUCCUCCAUACUACUCUGGCAAAGUUUCUUCGCCUAUGUCCUGGAUAAAAUCCCCCCUUUCCUCUUCAUUAAUCAUGAUCUUAAUCUGUGUUUAUCAUUUAAAAGUAGCUAGUUAAUCACGAUUUUAGAAAAAAACAUGUUUACUCGAAAUUUUUGGAUUUGGAAAUCUAAACGCAAUUAUAUGCUACUUUUUGUACCCAUAAUCAAUGAAUAGAUAUUGAGCGAUGCUGUUACAUGUUUCUGCAAUCAGGCAAAAGAGACAAAUAUAAGCCACAAAUGGCUCAAAUUAAGUGAGAUCUUAGAAUCUUUGAAUUCAUAGAAACGAACAACGGAUCUUCAAUAACUGCUCCUCUGGUUGAUCACAUAAAGAGGCUAACUAUCUGCGUUCUGUAAUCGAUUAAGCAAUAGUACGAAUGGUUUUUUUCAACUCAUUGGGAUCAUGAUGUGACUGGAAAGUUUUAUUUCUGUUGAAAAUUAAAUUAAUUAGCUUCAUACUCUUGCAGAACAAUAAUCUUCCAGUGGGAAAACAAGAUGGGAAGAAAAGGAAAGAAAAGAUCACUUUCUGUCGACUUCUACAAUCAAUAAAAAGCUCCAUUAAUUAACCAAAAAAAGAAGAAGAAGAAGAUGGAUCUUGUAUUGGUUCGUUGUCUUUAAGUAUUUCUGCACAAUAUUGUCUUGUUUUGACAAGUGAUAGUCGCACAUAGAGGGCAGUCUCUUGCAAGCCUUUCAAAGCAAGAUGCAAGUAAACACAUAUGCUCGAACAGAGAACUUAAAUUGCAUUUGCUUACUUUGACAAGUUUAAUGGCUUCAUCCUACGUAUGGAUGGAAGCAGUACUUUAGUUAUUAUCUGCCUGCUAAUUUUAAGAAAGAUCUUUUAUAUGUUUAAAUUUGCAGAAAUGGUUGCAUAUCAGAAAGACCUUCUCAAGAGUUGCUCUCUCAAGGAAGUAUGAAACCAUCCUCCAUACACUCACAAAGAACCAGGGUAUAUGUACAAUGUAACACUUGGCCAAGCACUCAGGGUAGCAAGCCAACACAAAUAAGAGAUUCGAAUGUAAUAUCGUAACGAGAAAGAAUUGCACAACUCCAAGGUGAAUGAGUAGGACCAGUCAUUGUGUCACGGUAAAACAGGAAUCUUUCUUGAAUUUGAAUGUGGAAAGAUCUGAUCAUUGUCCUUUUCCAUGGAUCCGAAUUUUAUCUGACCUUAAGUUUAAAGAUCUCAGCCGAUAACCUUAAUGAUCCAUGGUUUGACAUGAAUCUAUUACAGUAAGUCAGAACAAGAAUCUGUCUUGAGGAAUUUGCUAACUGAGGGUAGUAGCACUAAAACCAUUUUCCAAUAGAGGUCCUAGAAUUACACUUAAAUUAGGGAUAUGAAGAACCUCACAUGUAAAAUUUAAUGGCAGCAAGGUAAUACUUUUUGAACAGCAUAGAAGUCUACUCGGAGAAACUCAAAUUCAACGGAUGUUUCUGCAUGCUGAUUGAAUUUUCUAAGCUUCAUGAAGUCAUCUGCCUAACUCUUGACUGGGAUCAGAAUAGAGAACGAAGACAAACAGGUGUAUGGUCUUGAUUUAUGCCCAAUCUGCAACUCCAAAAUCUUGUUGAAAUUCUAGACUAUGAGGAAUAAUAUUAAAAAAAACAUAGUUACGAUAUUAUCAUUAGUCUCUCCAGUUGUGUGAUUUUGAAAUGAUCGUCGCUACCAAAAUGUUGAGAUUGACUACCGCAUAACAGAAAGUUAUCGCUAAAAUAAUUAGAAGCUAAUAUCAAAUGUUUUAAUCCCAGAUCAUCAUUUAUUAUUUUGAACAUAGAUUUCAAUAUGGCCAAUCAAUUUUUGUAUAAUUGCUAGUUCUUUCCACUAAUUAAGUCAUAAGAUAAUUGCUUUGCACAGUGAUUUUAGGAGAAUUGUAAUAUAAUAUUUUGUUAAUAAGCGCAUUUGUGAUAUUAAGAAAUGUUAGAAAGUGAUUCCUGAAAACAGUGUGGUUGAAAAACACUCCACCCAAAAGGAUAAUUCAUGUCUGUUUCUUUUUUAUAUCUUAGAUAGAGGUAAUCCACGAAUUGGACACUAGAGGAACGACAUGUAAGGUUGAUCUUUAAAACAGUCAAGAUUUACAUCACCAGAAGAAUAAAAAAAAGGGCAAAAUACACUGUGUCCUCCAGUGGUUUAGCAUUUUUCACAUAACCCGCUUAUGAUUUCAAAAGUUACAUAUAACUCUCUUAUGGUUUCGAUUAAAGUAUUAAGGUGAAAAAAAUUUGCAUUCCACAACGGAGUCAACUAAAAUGUCAAAAUUAUCCCUAUGUAAAGUUAAAAAUUAUUUAUUUACUACAGGGGAUUCUAUAUAUAUUUAAAAAUCAUAAGGAGAUUAUAUGGUAAAACAAUAAAUCAUAAAGAAGUUAUAUGCUAAAAUAUAAAACCAUAUGGGGCUAGAGUGUCAUGCAUAUUAUAUUUAUAAAUUUUUGUCACUUCACCCAUUUUAGUUUUAAACAAGAAUAACUUAGAUAUUUUCAUGAGUUCGGUUAUAAAUGAUCAUUUCUAUCGCUUUGACACUUUAAUUCAAAUUAUGAGAGGUUAUAUAUAGUUUUUAAAACUAUAGGUGGGUCAUGUGAAAAUUUGCUAAAUCACAUGAUAAUAAAGUGUAUUUUGCCAAAUAAAAAAUGAGGGAUGAGAGCUGACUGAAAUUAUGCAGAAGGAUAACGGCUAGAUCAGCAUCUUUGAAUCAUUCCUAGCUAGUAUACAAGAUAACCAUCAAAAUCUCUGAAAUUUCUUAUGUAGAAAAUUGGUGAAGAAGAUUAACGUGUACACGCAAGUUAAUAGCAGCCAAUCACCCUUUGUAAACCGCCAGCUGUGGCAUCUUGAAAACACAAUAGCUACUAGUUCACUUUGAAAGUUAGAAACACCAUGAAGUUCAACUACACCUUGUCCCUUUUAGUUUCGUGCUUCAUUUUAUACUUAACCUUCACCAAUGCUGCAAAUUUCAACAUUAUAAACCAAUGUACCUACACAGUUUGGGCAGCUGCUUCCCCAGGGGGUGGCAGGCGGCUCGACCGAGGCCAAUCGUGGUCCCUAGAUGUGGCUCCUGGCACCACCAACGCUCGCAUUUGGGGCCGAACAAAUUGCAACUUUGAUGCCAAUGGCCAAGGCCAGUGUCAGACAGGUGAUUGCAACGGGCGCCUCGAAUGCCAAGGCUAUGGAAAGCCUCCGAAUACGCUAGCUGAAUUCGUCCUAAACCAGCCUAACAACUUAGACUACUUCGACAUUUCCCUCCUUUAUGGAUUCAACAUCCCAUUGGAGUUCAGCUCCGUUACUCCUUGCCAUGAUAUCAGAUGUUCAGCGCCUAUUGUUGAUCAAUGCCC